GACGAACCGUCCUAACGUUGUUCGGAAUCACUGGGCUUAAAGGGCGCGUAGGCGGGCGAUCAAGUCCAGGGUGAAAUCUUUCGGCUUAACCGGAAAAUAGCCUUGGAUACUGCUUGUCUCGAGGGAGGCAGGGGCCGUUGGAACUUCCGGUGGAGCGGUGAAAUGCGUUGAUAUCGGAAGGAACGCCGGUGGCGAAAGCGAACGGCUGGACCUCUUCUGACGCUGAGGCGCGAAAGCCAGGGGAGCAAACGGG
RNAcentral lists this ribosomal RNA (253 nucleotides) under uncultured bacterium. RNAcentral describes it as "partial 16S ribosomal RNA". It matches the Rfam family "Bacterial small subunit ribosomal RNA", at positions 524 to 776 of the family's 1533-position model. The record is from RNAcentral.